Long non-coding RNA from Diceros bicornis minor, 1349 nucleotides. RefSeq lists it as uncharacterized. The transcript has 3 exons. The record is from RefSeq and is a predicted model, not a curated record. Lineage: Eukaryota; Metazoa; Chordata; Mammalia; Perissodactyla; Rhinocerotidae.
UCCCGGCGGCGGAGGCCCCGGAGCGGGUGGUGAGCGCACAGCCCCCGCCGCCCCUGCUCGGGGCUCCGGCCCAUCGUUGUCCCCAGGGCCCCCGCCGGCCUUGGCUCCUAGGGGACGGGCGGGCCUUCCGAGGGAGCCGGCUCGGGACGUCCUGGCAAACAGGAAGCGAGACAAAGGCGGCCGAUUAUCAAGCCCCCACAUUCCUUUCAGGUGCUGGGACAACAGGAGGGAAGGAAGAGGUGAGGAGAGGCUGGCACCCUCUGAAGGGAGGAGGCCUCAGAGGUCAACACGGGCCUGAGAUUCUGCACGAGUGUCUAUGGGAAGACCCCUAGAUGAUCCCCUCCGGCCUGGAGGCUUUAAAUGUCAACUUCAAGUUCACGAGUCUCAAGUUUAUAUCUGCUGCCUGGAUCUCUCCCUAAACUCCAGAUUCAAGAAUCUUGCUGCUACUCAGCAUCAGCGCUGAGGGGUCUACCAACAGUGGAACCCCAACCCCCCCCCCUUGAGUUUCAGACUCACGUCCAGCUGGCCUCCUGACAUCUCUGAGUGUGCAAAAGGCAACUGAAACUGAAAAUAGCCAAACUGCCUCCCCGCAGACCUGCUCCUCCCCGCUCUUCAACUCAGAAAAUGGCACCUUCUCCACCCAGCUGUUCAAGCCAGAACUCCGAGUGGUCUGGGGUGCCCCGCCCCAACCAUCAGCAGGUCCUGGGACGCACAUCAUGGAAGGCUCUGAACCGGUCUGCCUCCCACCCCUGCACUGCCACCACCCUACUCUGGUCCCUCGUCACUUCUCACCUGGACCCUGGCGAUGGCUUCCUAACCGGGCUCUGGGCCUCUUCACCAUCCCCACGCACACCUACCGUCCAUUCCCUACCUACUCUGAAGGCAGAGACAUCCUUGAAGAACGUAAGACUGUGUGCUCACUGAGUGGCUCCCCACGGCUCUCAGCACAAAGUACAAAAUCCUCGGCACAGCUCAUGAGACCCGUGGGCGGGGCCUCUCUCCCCAUUUCGCAGCUCCAGCUGAGGUGAGCUCGGUCCCACCUCCCAGCCUGGGCCACUCGUCCCCUAGUCUAUCCAUCUCCCUGGUAUCAGCAUAAGUGUCUCUUCCUGAGUGGCCUUCCCUUGCCCCCACCCCCCUCUAAACUGAGACCCCCACUGUUCUCUGUUUUCUCCUAUCCCACCUCUAACAGGUUGUUAGACGAGUUUAUUUGUGUGUGUGUGGUCCUUCAUCAUUGGACUGGAAGCCCCAGUGCAAGGAUGGGGACUGUGUGGCGCGUUCUGGCUCCAUCUCCUUGGCCCAGCACAGGGCCUGGCACAUAGUAGGUCUUUAAUAAAUAGGUGUCAACCCAA